GGGAGCUGCUAGGUCGUUCGCAGAGCGCUGCUCCACCCCAAGUCCAUCAAUGAGUACGGUAGUACAGACAUGGCCCAUGGAGGGUGAAAGGCCCGUUCGGGUGGAGAUUCGGCAGGCCAGUGCUUCUCUGGGUAGACCUUGGAGUCGGGUUGUUUGUGAAUGCAGCCCAAAGUGGGUGGUAAACUCCAUCCAAGGCUAAAUACAAGCACGAGUCCGAUAGCGAACAAGUACCGUGAGGGAAAGUUGAAAAGUACUUUGAAGAGAGAGUUAACAGUGCGUGAAACCGCUCAGAGGUAAGCAGGUGGAGUUGAACUGCAAGCUUUGAGAAUUCAGCUGGUGAGGUUGGUUUGGGCUUGGUCAAAUUGGUUGGGCCCCGAAGUACGUUAAACCACGUGUCCUUUCCCUUUGGGUUGGGAUGUGCGAUACACUUACCAAGUGUUGCACGCUUUGGGUGUUCAUCGAGCCUCCUUGUCAGUGCACUUUCUCAGAGUGGUCACCACGACCGACGCCGCUGUCAGGCUGUCAUAGUUAAACCGGUCUUGUAGUGUCCUUGUGGCAUUGCCUGGUCGGGAUGGCAGGUAGCUUGUUGGCUCGCUUCGGCUUGCUUUCGAGUGUAAUCAGCUGACUGUGACGGUUCUGUGCAGUGCGUCGGAGACGGCGGCCAGUGGUGUGUGCAUGCGUGCCCGAUUUGUUGGCGUACCCUGGUUUGGUUUCUGUGUUGCCUGUGAUAGCAGGCCUAGUUAUGGCUGGGGUUCGUUCGGCGAAUGGUUGCGUGUGUGGCACUUCCAAGGGCCAAUAGUCUGUGGUGUAGUGGUAGACUAUCCACCUGACCCGUCUUGAAACACGGACCAAGGAGAGUAACAUGUACGCGAGUCAUUGGGCGUAACGAAACCCACAGGCGCAGUGAAAGUAAAGGUUUGGCUUGUCACAAACACUGGAAGU
RNAcentral lists this ribosomal RNA (942 nucleotides) under Dicrocoelium dendriticum. RNAcentral describes it as "partial large subunit ribosomal RNA". It matches the Rfam family "Eukaryotic large subunit ribosomal RNA", at positions 144 to 771 of the family's 3401-position model. Lineage: Eukaryota; Metazoa; Platyhelminthes; Trematoda; Plagiorchiida; Dicrocoeliidae. The record is from RNAcentral.